AUUGAACACUGGCGGCAUGCCUUACACAUGCAAGUCGAACGGCAGCACGGGAGCAAUCCUGGUGGCGAGUGGCGAACGGGUGAGUAAAGUAUCGGAACGUGCCCAGUCGUGGGGGAUAACGUAGCGAAAGUUACGCUAAUACCGCAUACGAUCUAUGGAUGAAAGCGGGGGAUCGCAAGACCUCGCGCGAUUGGCGCGGCCGAUAUCAGAUUAGGUAGUUGGUGGGGUAAAGGCUCACCAAGCCGACGAUCUGUAGCUGGUCUGAGAGGACGACCAGCCACACUGGGACUGAGACACGGCCCAGACUCCUACGGGAGGCAGCAGUGGGGAAUUUUGGACAAUGGGCGAAAGCCUGAUCCAGCCAUGCCGCGUGCAGGAUGAAGGCCUUCGGGUUGUAAACUGCUUUUGUACGGAACGAAAAGGUUUGGCCUAAUAAGCUGAGCUCAUGACGGUACCGUAAGAAUAAGCACCGGCUAACUACGUGCCAGCCGCCGCCGUAA
RNAcentral lists this ribosomal RNA (500 nucleotides) under uncultured bacterium. RNAcentral describes it as "partial 16S ribosomal RNA". It matches the Rfam family "Bacterial small subunit ribosomal RNA", at positions 30 to 523 of the family's 1533-position model. The record is from RNAcentral.